AGCGGAGUAGCGCAGAGGAAGCGCGCUGGGCUCAUAACCCAGAGGUCGGUGGAUCGAAACCACUCUCCGCUA
Molecule: non-coding RNA, 72 nt
Organism: Syncephalastrum racemosum
Lineage: Eukaryota; Fungi; Mucoromycota; Mucoromycetes; Mucorales; Syncephalastraceae
Source: the annotation of a GenBank genome assembly